Molecule: non-coding RNA, 3386 nt
Organism: Cricetulus griseus (Chinese hamster)
Lineage: Eukaryota; Metazoa; Chordata; Mammalia; Rodentia; Cricetidae
Source: RefSeq, a predicted model, not a curated record
GGGGUCUGUCUUUUAAAGGGGUCCUUUGCACCUGCUUGCAAACUAGUUCCCAUGGAACCCUGGGCUGACCAGAGUACUGCCUGAGAGCAUUCUGCCAGGUGACAGGGCCAGGCCAGCAUAAAGGAUAUCUAGCUUUUGUAGCCCCUGUAUCGUCUCGUCUCUAUUUUCUUAUAGUCUUUUUUUGAGAGUAUGAAGUCAAUCUGAAUUGUAGAGAGCAUGGUGUUACCUGUAGAAUCCCAAGUCCGGUUUCCUGUGAGUUGAAAUGAUCCAAAGGCAAACUUCUGAAAGAAUGAUAGGAGAACAUGAAAGGGAGUACUGAGGAGGGGGGCUAGAAAAAGCCCUGGGUGAGAGGAGCCAGGCUUGAGGAAGCUCUGUGCAAAGGAGUGAUUGUAAUAUAGGGAUCAGAAAGAAUGAGGGUGGGGUAGAUGUGGGGGACAUGGUGAGUCUGUUAAAGAGCCCAUUGUUAAACCAGUCUCCCAAUUCAGAAGCAAACUAGGAAGUCCCAGCAUAGGCAAAAUACUUCAUACAAUUGGAUUAGGUUAUUGUGCUUUAUAGUAAGUUAAGAGCACAUCUGUGGAGUAGAGAAAACGUAACAAUCUCACUGUAGAAGACAAAAAUAUUUUGGUAAUUUUCCUCCAGUGAGAUUAUAUUGUAUGAACAAAUCUACAAAUUUGGAGGCUAAUAUACUUUUGGUCCUUAUAUUUUGUAUACUUAGGUUGGUAAUCUUUACAAAAAGUUACUGAAGUAUAGUAGAUCAGGAUUGAAGGUGUGUGUGUGUGUGUGUGUGUGUGUGUGUGUGUGUGUUCAUCUAAUUAGUACUGGAAGCAGCCUUAGUUUCCUGGCACAUGAGUAUUUUUUAAGUUAACUAGAUUUGCUUCCAUAUAUGUUGAAUGAGAGGUCAGCAGUGACACAUACAUUUGUGAAACAUGUUGAUUGAGAAACCACCGUUCUUGGACCUCUUUACUAGUUUGUGGUUUGCUUCUAGGAUAAUUAAUGUUACCACCACUUAGUUUCAUUUCUGUUGCUGUGAUAAAAUACCUUGACAGAAGAAACUUAGGAAAAAGGGUUUACUUUUGCUUACAGUUCCAAGUUAAAGCCCAUCAUUUAUAAGAGUUACAAUGCAGGAGCUUGUGAUAGCCAUCAGCAUUUCAUCACAGUCAAGAAGCAGAGGGGAAGGAAUAAUUAGUAUGCCCAGCUAGCUUUCUCCAGUUUCACACACCCCAGUACACAAACUCAGGGAAUGGUGCUACCCACUUUCAGGCAGGGUCUUCCCACAUCCUCCAUAGAUGUGUCUCCAAUGGCCAAACUGAUCCAAACAUAUUUUCAUUGAGACUCUCCUCCCUGGCUGAUUGUAAAUUUUCUCAAACUGACAAAACUAACCAUUACACCAUUUUACAUUGCUAGUCAUGGGGUGGGGAUGGUAUCUACUUUCUGCCUUUUAGGUGCCUAGAAGAACUGAGGUUAGCCUAAGCAAUUUUAGCUGUUUGAAGAAUUGACUAAAGUGCCCCAAGGUCCUGUAAAAUGGCAUAAGACGUUGACCUUAACAAGCCAGUCAGUCCACUCUUCUUAGCUUCGUCUUGACCACACUUCGUAGGCAGUUGAUUUCACUGGUAGCCCUUUUCAUACUGUCCAGAUGAGUCUAAAGACUCCCGGAAGCUCCAAACUGGCUUUAGAACAGUGUUUCCACACCCGCUUCUUCUUAGUCCUCAGAUACGACAUUGUGCUGGUAAAUCCAAAAAGCAUUACCCCAGAAACCCCCUUUCAUCAUAUAACUUAUAAAGCUUUUAAAGUACCCUUUCGUUUUCAUUGCUGUGAAAUCCAUGUAAAAUAGGAUUAACUAUUUAAAUAUGUGUGGGUCACUAGCCUAGUACUACUCUUUAAGCAUUUGAUUGUUAGUGAGAAUUUUGGUCCUUUAUUGUUGGGGCAGUGUGAUGAUGGCCAUAUCCACAUUCAGUAUUUUACCUAGUAAGCUAAAAAGUAAAUAAACAUCAAACUUUAAAAUAUUCCUAUCUCUUCACCACUUCAACUUAAGCUUAGUUUGACAUUUUCAUUCUCCCCUCAACUCCCUUUCUCUCAAAAACAAACCCAAAAAGAUCAAGGAGCCAAAGCCUAGAUCCUUGAUUUCUUCUAGGAACACCUGCCUGCACAGUUUUCAAAUAGUAAUAGCAGCCUUACUGUCUUCAGGGUGCUUAGUUAGCAUUACGCAAGAAAGGCUUUACUUAGCCAAGGUGUAAAUAACCCAGCAACUGUGUAAUAGUGGCUCUGUGGCACAUUACAUCCGCACUUAAAGGUGUGCACUCAAGUUGAAGUUUGAAGAAGAGGUACCCUGUGCUACACCUUGUAGAUUCUAAGCUGCUUUGCUGACUUUUUCAAUCGAGGACACUGUUGCUUUUAGCAUACUGAAACAGAAAAAACUGUGCAAGAAUUUAAAGAUGAUAAUACCGUCAGCAUCUCCAAGAAAAAGAAAGUCAAGAAAGCUGUCUCCAGUCAACUGUUAACAGCCUGCUGCUAUUUCCUGAUAUGGAAAAAUUGAAUUCCAAUGACUCGACUCCAUAUUUACACUGCUAUUAUUCUCAGAACAGAACAAAAUGGUCUGGAACUCCACUGGGAUUCUCUGAAACCUCGACACAUUACAUGUAGUCUUUUGCCAGAAGUUUGACUCCCUGAAGCUGUGUGGUUGGUUUUUUCCUUAUUUUCCUUUGUUGCAUCUCUUAAGUUGACUACCCAGCUAAAUGAAGAAGGCAUAGUCUGGGUUUUGGAACUGACUGAAGAGCAACCACUGCAUUGUUAAAUGUUGAACCAACAGAUUUUUGACAUUGGAAGGUUUUGAUAUUCAGUUCAGGCAAGUUUUUAAGAUAUUCUUUAAAAAAAAUCAUGUAAUACUUCUGAUUAUUUUCUUUCACUAAAACAUUAGUUCUAAUUCAGUGUGAAGCUCCAGAAUAUCUGAAAUAAGCAUUACAGUUUCUGACUUAUAUUUAAAAUGUAUUCAUCUAAUCUUCCUUCCCUCUUCCCUUCCUGCCUUCUUUUGCAGUGAGCUUGAAUAUUGACUGAGAAUUGGUUCUGUCAAGACCAUCUCUGGCAAUCUGUUCCAAAUUCAACUAUAAUAAAUCAUAACUAAGGAUGAACACUUACAUAAAUACAUAUUCUUAAGUGAUUUUAAAAUAAAGUCUUUUUAGUGGACUGGUGGUAAGCAUCAAAGUCUUUGAAUUCAUCAGAGUCUUUUGAAAUGCUGUCCUGCCCAGGAGGACUGGCUUCUGUGGACUGGAGAGGAUGUGUUCUUAUUAGGACAGACUAAAUCUGUGUUGAAUUUGUACAAGAGAACCUUUUUAUUUGUGUGUGUGUGUGUGUGUGUGUGUGUGUGUGUGUGUGUGUGUGUGUGUGUGUGU